AUGCACGCUGGCGGCGUGCUUAACACAUGCCAGUCGAACGAAGCACUUUAACCUGAUUCUUCGGAUGAAGGUUUUUGUGACUGAGUGGCGGACGGGUGAGUAACGCGUGGGUAACCUGCCUCAUACAGGGGGAUAACAGUUAGAAAUGACUGCUAAUACCGCAUAAGACCACAGAGCCGCAUGGCUCGGUGGGAAAAACUCCGGUGGUAUGAGAUGGACCCGCGUCUGAUUAGGUAGUUGGUGGGGUAACGGCCUACCAAGCCAACGAUCAGUAGCCGACCUGAGAGGGUGACCGGCCACAUUGGGACUGAGACACGGCCCAAACUCCUACGGGAGGCAGCAGUGGGGAAUAUUGCACAAUGGGGGAAACCCUGAUGCAGCGACGCCGCGUGAGCGAAGAAGUAUUUCGGUAUGUAAAGCUCUAUCAGCAGGGAAGAAAAUGACGGUACCUGACUAAGAAGCACCGGCUAAAUACGUG
This 478-nucleotide ribosomal RNA is filed under the name uncultured bacterium. Its description in RNAcentral is "partial 16S ribosomal RNA". It matches the Rfam family "Bacterial small subunit ribosomal RNA", at positions 29 to 507 of the family's 1533-position model. The record is from RNAcentral.